This 398-nucleotide ribosomal RNA is filed under the name uncultured bacterium. Its description in RNAcentral is "partial 16S ribosomal RNA". It matches the Rfam family "Bacterial small subunit ribosomal RNA", at positions 338 to 734 of the family's 1533-position model. The record is from RNAcentral.
CCUACGGGUGGCAGCAGUGAGGAAUAUUGGUCAAUGGCCGGAAGGCUGAACCAGCCAAGCCGCGUGAAGGACGAAGGUGCCAAGCAUUGUAAACUUCUUUUGUCAAGGGACAAAAUCAGGCACGUGUGCCUGGUUGAGUGUACUUGAAGAAAAAGCAUCGGCUAACUCCGUGCCGGCAGCCGCGGUAAUACGGAGGAUGCGAGCGUUAUCCGGAUUUAUUGGGUUUAAAGGGUGCGUAGGCGGUCUGUUAAGUCAGCGGUAAAAGCCCGGGGCUAAACCCCGGCCAGCCGUUGAAACUGGCAGUCUUGAGUAGAGGAGAGGUAUGCGGAAUGCGCGGUGUAGCGGUGAAAUGCUUAGAUAUCGCGAAGAACUCCGAUUGCGAAGGCAGCAUACCGGCU